Molecule: long non-coding RNA, 433 nt
Filed under: Ananas comosus (pineapple)
Lineage: Eukaryota; Viridiplantae; Streptophyta; Magnoliopsida; Poales; Bromeliaceae
Description: long non-coding RNA (ACOM_LNC019483)
Source: RNAcentral
CGGUUCUCGACCAAAUUGUCUGAGCGGUUCGGAUUCUUCGAAACAACGGUAUAAAAAAUUUUGGUUAGAGUUUUUAUACUUCUCUAAUUUGGUCUUCUCGGUUUUACGAAAAUCUUUUUUAGUAUUUUUUUAGAGUUUUCGUCGGAACAAGAGAAAGGUGGGAUUCCUCAUAAGGUUCCUGGUUUUUAACCGGAGAAGACAUAAGGUGUAAGCUUGUACUUCUUUUUCUUCAUAUAGUGGAAUACAUCUCUCUCGCUCUCCGCUCUCCCCGUGGACGUAGGCAAUUGUCGAACCACGUAAAUCUUGAUUUUUUUUUCUUUUUUUUUUAUCGUUUGUUCGAUUUUCUCUAUUUUUUUCGUGCAUUUUUGUUGAUAGAGCACGACGGACGAUUCAUCCUGUUUCCAACAAAAAGGUUGUUGAAUAGGACGAAAAC